GUGGGGUAACGGCCUACCAAGUCGACGAUCAGUAGCCGGGUUGAGAGACUGACCGGCCACAUUGGGACUGAGAUACGGCCCAGACUCCUACGGGAGGCAGCAGUGGGGAAUAUUGGGCAAUGGGGGAAACCCUGACCCAGCAACGCCGCGUGAAGGAAGAAGGCCUUCGGGUUGUAAACUUCUUUUACCAGGGACGAAGAAAGUGACGGUACCUGGAGAAAAAGCUCCGGCUAACUAC
RNAcentral lists this ribosomal RNA (238 nucleotides) under uncultured bacterium. RNAcentral's name for it is "partial 16S ribosomal RNA". It matches the Rfam family "Bacterial small subunit ribosomal RNA", at positions 252 to 504 of the family's 1533-position model. The record is from RNAcentral.